GCGCCGUUAGCUCAACCCGGCAGAGCAGGGGACUCUUAAUCCCAAGGUUGAAGGUUCGAUUCCUUCACGGCGCACCA
This 77-nucleotide transfer RNA is filed under the name Candidatus Theseobacter exili. RNAcentral describes it as "tRNA-Lys". It matches the Rfam family "tRNA". From Rfam's summary of the family: Transfer RNA (tRNA) molecules are approximately 80 nucleotides in length. Their secondary structure includes four short double-helical elements and three loops (D, anti-codon, and T loops). Further hydrogen bonds mediate the characteristic L-shaped molecular structure. tRNAs have two regions of fundamental functional importance: the anti-codon, which is responsible for specific mRNA codon recognition, and the 3' end, to which the tRNAs corresponding amino acid is attached (by aminoacyl-tRNA synthetases). tRNAs cope with the degeneracy of the genetic code in two manners: having more than one tRNA (with a specific anti-codon) for a particular amino acid; and 'wobble' base-pairing, i.e. permitting non-standard base-pairing at the 3rd anti-codon position. The record is from RNAcentral. Lineage: Bacteria; Pseudomonadati; Candidatus Auribacterota; Candidatus Auribacteria; Candidatus Theseobacterales; Candidatus Theseobacteraceae.